ACCUGGGUGGCUUAGUCGGUUAAGCAUCUGACUUCGGCUCAGGUCAUGAUCUCAUGGUUUGUGAGUUUGAGCCCCAUUCCGGCUC
Molecule: transfer RNA, 85 nt
Organism: Felis catus (domestic cat)
Lineage: Eukaryota; Metazoa; Chordata; Mammalia; Carnivora; Felidae
Rfam family: tRNA
About the family: Transfer RNA (tRNA) molecules are approximately 80 nucleotides in length.
Source: Rfam